Molecule: ribosomal RNA, 497 nt
Filed under: uncultured bacterium
Lineage: Bacteria
Description: partial 16S ribosomal RNA
Rfam family: Bacterial small subunit ribosomal RNA
Source: RNAcentral
GAUGAACGCUGGCGGCGUGCCUAAUACAUGCAAGUCGAGCGAACAGACGAGGAGCUUGCUCCUCUGACGUUAGCGGCGGGCGGGUGAGUAACACGUGGAUAACCUACCUAUAAGACUGGGAUAACUUCGGGAAACCGGAGCUAAUACCGGAUAAUAUAUUGAACCGCAUGGUUCAAUAGUGAAAGACGGUUUUGCUGUCACUUAUAGAUGGAUCCGCGCCGCAUUAGCUAGUUGGUAAGGUAACGGCUUACCAAGGCAACGAUGCGUAGCCGACCUGAGAGGGUGAUCGGCCACACUGGAACUGAGAAACGGUCCAGACUCCUACGGGAGGCAGCAGUAGGGAAUCUUCCGCAAAGGGCGAAAGCUUGACGGAGCAACGCCGCGUGAGUGAUGAAGGUCUUCGGAUCGUAAAACUCUGUUAUUAGGGAAGAACAAAUGUGUAAGUAACUAUGCACGUCUUGACGGUACCUAAUCAGAAAGCCACGGCUAACUACGUG